CCUACGGGUGGCAGCAGUAGGGAAUCUUGGGCAAUGGAGGCAACUCUGACCCAGCAACGCCGCGUGAGUGAUGAAGGUCUUCGGAUUGUAAAGUUCUUUUCUAAGGGAAGAAGAAAGUGACGGUACCUUAUGCAUGAGCCUCCGCUAACUACGUGCCAGCAGCCGCGGUAAUACGUAGCAGGCAAGCGUUAACCGGAAUGACUGGGCGUAAAGGGUGCGUAGGUGGUUUGACAAGUUAGUAGCGAAACUCCGGAGCUCAACUUCGGAACUACUACUAAAACUGUUGGACUUGAGUGCAGGAGGGGAAAGCGGAAUUCCUAGUGUAGCGGUGGAAUGCGCAGAUAUUAGGAGGAACACCAGUGGCGAAGGCGGAUUGCUAGACUGUAACUGACACUGAGGCACGAAAGCGUGGGGAGCAAACAGGAUUAGAUACCCGAGUAGUC
This 443-nucleotide ribosomal RNA is filed under the name uncultured bacterium. RNAcentral describes it as "partial 16S ribosomal RNA". It matches the Rfam family "Bacterial small subunit ribosomal RNA", at positions 338 to 795 of the family's 1533-position model. The record is from RNAcentral.